UACGUAGGGUGCAAGCGUUGUCCGGAUUUAUUGGGUUUAAAGGGUGCGUAGGCGGCCUGUUAAGUCAGUGGUGAAAUCCAACAGCUCAACUGUUGAUGUGCCAAUGAUACUGACAGGCUUGAGUACAGACGAGGUAGGCGGAAUUGACAGUGUAGCGGUGAAAUGCAUAGAUAUGACACAGAACACCAAUUGCGAAGGCAGCUCACUAAGCUGUAACUGACGCUGAGGCACGAAAGCGUGGGGAUCAAACAGG
This 253-nucleotide ribosomal RNA is filed under the name uncultured bacterium. RNAcentral describes it as "partial 16S ribosomal RNA". It matches the Rfam family "Bacterial small subunit ribosomal RNA", at positions 524 to 776 of the family's 1533-position model. The record is from RNAcentral.